This 1471-nucleotide ribosomal RNA is filed under the name Klebsiella pneumoniae. RNAcentral describes it as "partial 23S ribosomal RNA". It matches the Rfam family "Bacterial large subunit ribosomal RNA", at positions 1 to 1527 of the family's 2925-position model. The record is from RNAcentral. Lineage: Bacteria; Pseudomonadati; Pseudomonadota; Gammaproteobacteria; Enterobacterales; Enterobacteriaceae.
GACUAAGCGUACACGGUGGAUGCCCUGGCAGUCAGAGGCGAUGAAGGACGUGCUAAUCUGCGAAAAGCGUCGGUAAGGUGAUAUGAACCGUUAUAACCGGCGAUGUCCGAAUGGGGAAACCCAGUGCAAUUCGUUGCACUAUCGUUAACUGAAUACAUAGGUUAACGAGGCGAACCGGGGGAACUGAAACAUCUAAGUACCCCGAGGAAAAGAAAUCAACCGAGAUUCCCCCAGUAGCGGCGAGCGAACGGGGAGCAGCCCAGAGUCUGAAUCAGCUUGUGUGUUAGUGGAACGGUCUGGAAAGUCCGACGGUACAGGGUGAUAGUCCCGUACACCAAAAUGCACAGGUUGUGAACUCGAAGAGUAGGGCGGGACACGUGGUAUCCUGUCUGAAUAUGGGGGGACCAUCCUCCAAGGCUAAAUACUCCUGACUGACCGAUAGUGAACCAGUACCGUGAGGGAAAGGCGAAAAGAACCCCGGCGAGGGGAGUGAAAAAGAACCUGAAACCGUGUACGUACAAGCAGUGGGAGCACCUUCGGGUGUGACUGCGUACCUUUUGUAUAAUGGGUCAGCGACUUAUAUUCUGUAGCAAGGUUAACCGUAUAGGGGAGCCGCAGGGAAACCGAGUCUUAACUGGGCGUUAAGUUGCAGGGUAUAGACCCGAAACCCGGUGAUCUAGCCAUGGGCAGGUUGAAGGUUGGGUAACACUAACUGGAGGACCGAACCGACUAAUGUUGAAAAAUUAGCGGAUGACUUGUGGCUGGGGGUGAAAGGCCAAUCAAACCGGGAGAUAGCUGGUUCUCCCCGAAAGCUAUUUAGGUAGCGCCUCGUGAACUCAUCUUCGGGGGUAGAGCACUGUUUCGGCUAGGGGGUCAUCCCGACUUACCAACCCGAUGCAAACUACGAAUACCGAAGAAUGUUAUCACGGGAGACACACGGCGGGUGCUAACGUCCGUCGUGAAGAGGGAAACAACCCAGACCGCCAGCUAAGGUCCCAAAGUCAUGGUUAAGUGGGAAACGAUGUGGGAAGGCACAGACAGCCAGGAUGUUGGCUUAGAAGCAGCCAUCAUUUAAAGAAAGCGUAAUAGCUCACUGGUCGAGUCGGCCUGCGCGGAAGAUGUAACGGGGCUAAACCAUGCACCGAAGCUGCGGCAGCGACACUAUGUGUUGUUGGGUAGGGGAGCGUUCUGUAAGCCUGCGAAGGUGUGCUGUGAGGCAUGCUGGAGGUAUCAGAAGUGCGAAUGCUGACAUAAGUAACGAUAAAGCGGGUGAAAAGCCCGCUCGCCGGAAGACCAAGGGUUCCUGUCCAACGUUAAUCGGGGCAGGGUGAGUCGACCCCUAAGGCGAGGCCGAAAGGCGUAGUCGAUGGGAAACAGGUUAAUAUUCCUGUACUUGGUGUUACUGCGAAGGGGGGACGGAGAAGGCUAUGUUAGCCGGGCGACGGUUGUCCCGGUUUAAGCAUGUAGGCUG